This 253-nucleotide ribosomal RNA is filed under the name uncultured bacterium. RNAcentral's name for it is "partial 16S ribosomal RNA". It matches the Rfam family "Bacterial small subunit ribosomal RNA", at positions 524 to 776 of the family's 1533-position model. The record is from RNAcentral.
UACGGGGGGGGUAAGCGUUGUUCGGAAUUACUGGGCGUAAAGGGCUCGUAGGCGGCCAACUAAGUCAGACGUGAAAUCUCUCAGCUUAACUGGGGAACUGCGUCUGAUACUGGAUGGCUUGAGAUUGGGAGAGGGAUGCGGAAUUCCAGGUGUAGCGGUGAAAUGCGUAGAUAUCUGGAGGAACACCGGUGGCGAAGGCGGCAUCCUGGACCAACACUGACGCUGAGGAGCGAAAGCCAGGGGAGCAAACGGG